Molecule: transfer RNA, 83 nt
Filed under: Clostridium manihotivorum
Lineage: Bacteria; Bacillati; Bacillota; Clostridia; Eubacteriales; Clostridiaceae
Description: tRNA-Leu
Rfam family: tRNA
About the family: Transfer RNA (tRNA) molecules are approximately 80 nucleotides in length. Their secondary structure includes four short double-helical elements and three loops (D, anti-codon, and T loops).
Source: RNAcentral
GCAGAUGUGCUGGAACUGGCAGACAGGCGCGUCUCAGAAGCGCGUGUAUUUACGUACGGGUUCAAGUCCCGUCAUCUGCACCA